UGAAAGCUGGCGUCUUCGGCGUCCGCAUUGUAAUCUCAAGAAGUGUUUUCCGCUUCGGACCAAGCCUAAGUCCCUUGGAAAAGGGCAUCAUAGAGGGUGAUAAUCCCGUACAUGGCUUGGAGCGCCCGAAGCUUUGUGAUACGCUUUCUAAGAGUCGAGUUGUUUGGGAAUGCAGCUCAAAAUGGGUGGUAAAUGCCAUCUAAGGCUAAAUAUUGGGGAGAGACCGAUAGCGAACAAGUACAGUGAUGGAAAGAUGAAAAGAACUUUGAAAAGAGAGUUAAACAGUACGUGAAAUUGCCAAAAGGGAAGGGUAGGAGGUCAGAGAUGCGGCCUGGGAUUCAGCCUUGCUUUUGCUUGGUGUUUUUCCCAGAUUGCAGGCCAACGUCGGUUUUGGGCACUGGAGAAGGGUAGGAGGAACGUGGCACCUCUCGGGGUGUGUUAUAGCCUCCUACUGGAUACAGCGACCGAGACCGAGGACAGCAGCGUACUCGCAAGAGCGGGCCUUCGGGCACCUUUACGCUUAGGGCGUUGGCAUAAUGGCCCUCUACCACC
RNAcentral lists this ribosomal RNA (552 nucleotides) under Moesziomyces aphidis. RNAcentral describes it as "LSU rRNA". It matches the Rfam family "Eukaryotic large subunit ribosomal RNA", at positions 116 to 649 of the family's 3401-position model. Lineage: Eukaryota; Fungi; Basidiomycota; Ustilaginomycetes; Ustilaginales; Ustilaginaceae. The record is from RNAcentral.